AGGACUGUCGCCAACGGAUAUAUGGGCUCUCGCAUUGAUGAAGAACGUAGCGAAAUGCGAUACUUGGUGUGAAUUGCAGAAUCCCGUGAACCAUCGAGUUUUUGAACGCAAGUUGCGCCCGAAGCCACUAGGCCGAGGGCACGUGAGCCUGGGUGUCA
This 158-nucleotide ribosomal RNA is filed under the name Senna uniflora. Its description in RNAcentral is "5.8S ribosomal RNA". It matches the Rfam family "5.8S ribosomal RNA". From Rfam's summary of the family: 5.8S ribosomal RNA (5.8S rRNA) is a component of the large subunit of the eukaryotic ribosome. The record is from RNAcentral. Lineage: Eukaryota; Viridiplantae; Streptophyta; Magnoliopsida; Fabales; Fabaceae.